Molecule: ribosomal RNA, 1083 nt
Filed under: Phocaeicola vulgatus
Lineage: Bacteria; Pseudomonadati; Bacteroidota; Bacteroidia; Bacteroidales; Bacteroidaceae
Description: bacterial SSU rRNA
Rfam family: Bacterial small subunit ribosomal RNA
Source: RNAcentral
AGAUUAAUACAAGAUGGCAUCAUGAGUCCGCAUGUUCACAUGAUUAAAGGUAUUCCGGUAGACGAUGGGGAUGCGUUCCAUUAGAUAGUAGGCGGGGUAACGGCCCACCUAGUCUUCGAUGGAUAGGGGUUCUGAGAGGAAGGUCCCCCACAUUGGAACUGAGACACGGUCCAAACUCCUACGGGAGGCAGCAGUGAGGAAUAUUGGUCAAUGGGCGCAGGCCUGAACCAGCCAAGUAGCGUGAAGGAUGACUGCCCUAUGGGUUGUAAACUUCUUUUAUAAAGGAAUAAAGUCGGGUAUGGAUACCCGUUUGCAUGUACUUUAUGAAUAAGGAUCGGCUAACUCCGUGCCAGCAGCCGCGGUAAUACGGAGGAUCCGAGCGUUAUCCGGAUUUAUUGGGUUUAAAGGGAGCGUAGAUGGAUGUUUAAGUCAGUUGUGAAAGUUUGCGGCUCAACCGUAAAAUUGCAGUUGAUACUGGAUAUCUUGAGUGCAGUUGAGGCAGGCGGAAUUCGUGGUGUAGCGGUGAAAUGCUUAGAUAUCACGAAGAACUCCGAUUGCGAAGGCAGCCUGCUAAGCUGCAACUGACAUUGAGGCUCGAAAGUGUGGGUAUCAAACAGGAUUAGAUACCCUGGUAGUCCACACGGUAAACGAUGAAUACUCGCUGUUUGCGAUAUACGGCAAGCGGCCAAGCGAAAGCGUUAAGUAUUCCACCUGGGGAGUACGCCGGCAACGGUGAAACUCAAAGGAAUUGACGGGGGCCCGCACAAGCGGAGGAACAUGUGGUUUAAUUCGAUGAUACGCGAGGAACCUUACCCGGGCUUAAAUUGCAGAUGAAUUACGGUGAAAGCCGUAAGCCGCAAGGCAUCUGUGAAGGUGCUGCAUGGUUGUCGUCAGCUCGUGCCGUGAGGUGUCGGCUUAAGUGCCAUAACGAGCGCAACCCUUGUUGUCAGUUACUAACAGGUUCCGCUGAGGACUCUGACAAGACUGCCAUCGUAAGAUGUGAGGAAGGUGGGGAUGACGUCAAAUCAGCACGGCCCUUACGUCCGGGGCUACACACGUGUUACAAUGGGGGGUACAGAGGGC